This 563-nucleotide ribosomal RNA is filed under the name Fusarium oxysporum f. sp. ciceris. RNAcentral describes it as "eukaryotic LSU rRNA". It matches the Rfam family "Eukaryotic large subunit ribosomal RNA", at positions 71 to 614 of the family's 3401-position model. Lineage: Eukaryota; Fungi; Ascomycota; Sordariomycetes; Hypocreales; Nectriaceae. The record is from RNAcentral.
GGGAUUGGCCCCAGUAACGGCGAGUGAGCGGCAACAGCUCAAAUUUGAAAUCUGGCUCUCGGGCCCGAGUUGUAAUUUGUAGAGGAUGCUUUUGGUGAGGUGCCUUCCGAGUUCCCUGGAACGGGACGCCAUAGAGGGUGAGAGCCCCGUCUGGUUGGACGCCGAACCUCUGUAAAGCUCCUUCGACGAGUCGAGUAGUUUGGGAAUGCUGCUCUAAAUGGGAGGUAUAUGUCUUCUAAAGCUAAAUACCGGCCAGAGACCGAUAGCGCACAAGUAGAGUGAUCGAAAGAUGAAAAGAACUUUGAAAAGAGAGUUAAACAGUACGUGAAAUUGUUGAAAGGGAAGCGCUUGUGACCAGACUUGGGCUUGGUUGAUCAUCCGGGUUCCCCCCGGUGCACUCUUCCGGCCCAGGCCAGCAUCAGUUCGCCCUGGGGGAACAAAAGCAUCGGAACUUGCCUUUUUCCGGAGAGGUAAAGCCCUGUGGCGAAACCCUGCGGGGAUGUAGGUUUCCAUUCCCGGGGGGGGCCGUAGGGUAUCUUGACCCCCUAAAACCGAAAACAAAA